RNAcentral lists this ribosomal RNA (2899 nucleotides) under Halorubellus sp. JP-L1. RNAcentral's name for it is "23S ribosomal RNA". It matches the Rfam family "Archaeal large subunit ribosomal RNA". The record is from RNAcentral. Lineage: Archaea; Methanobacteriati; Methanobacteriota; Halobacteria; Halobacteriales; Halorubellaceae.
CAACUGGUGGAUGGCUCGGCUUGAGAGCCGACGAAGGACGUGCCAAGCUGCGAAAAGCCUAUGGGAGCCGCACGGAGGCAAAGAACAUAGGAUCUCCGAAUGGGAAUCCCCACCGCAAUUGCUUCGCGCAAUGGGGAACGCCGAGAACUGAAACAUCUUAGUAUCGGCCGGAAAAGAAAGCAAAACCGCGAUGUCGUCAGUAACCGCGAGUGAACGCGACCCAGUCCAAACCGAAGCCCUCACGGGCAAUGUGGUGUACGGACUGACAAUCAGCAUCAGAACGUUUGAUCGAAGUCUCCUGGAACGGAGCGCGACACAGGGUGACAGCCCCGUAGACCAAACAAGUACGUUGUGCGUCAGCUCCAGAGUAGCGGGGGUUGGAUAUCCCUCGUGAACCACGCGGGCAUCGACCGCGAAGACUAAACACUCCUCAAGACCGAUAGCGAACAAGUAGCGUGAGCGAACGCUGAAAAGCACCCCACAAAGGGAGGUGCAAUAGGGCCUGAAAUCAGUUGGCGAUAGAGCGAUGGUGCAUACAAGGUCCACUACCAAACGACCCGGGCGCGAGCCCACAGUAGGACGUAGUGGAAGCCGGUGUGCCAUCGUGCGUUUUGAAAAACGAGCCAGGGAGUGCAUCUGUCUGACGAGUCUAACCUGCUUCUCGCAGGGAAGGCACAGGGAAACCGAUACGGCCGCAGUCUUACGACCAGGGCCACCGUGUUCAAGCGCGGGGAGUCAGCCGGAUGCGACCCGAAACCAGAUGAUCUACGCCUGGGCAAGGUGAAGCGUGCCGAAAGGCACGUGGAGGCCUGUUAGCGUUGGUGUCCUUCAAUACCCUCGCGUGACCUAGGUGUAGGGGUGAAAGGCCCAUCGAAUCUGGCAACAGCUGGUUCCAAUCGAAACAUGUCGAAGCAUGACCUCUGUCGAGGUAGCUCGUGGGGUAGAGCAACCGAUUGGGAGCGUCCACUUCGAGAGAAGUGGACCUCCCUGUCAAACUCCAAACCUACGGGCGCCGCUGACACAGGGAGUCCGGUGUGCGGGGUAAGCCUGUGCACCAUGAGGGAGACAACCCAGAGCCGGGUUAAGGUCCCCAAGUGUGGAUUAAGUGCGAUCGAAGGUGGUCUCAAGCCCUAGACAGCCGGGAGGUGAGCUUAGAAGCAGCUACCCUCUAAGAAAAGCGUAACAGCUUACCGGCCGAGGUUUGAGGCGCCCAAAAUGAUCGGGGCUCAAAUCCACCACCGAGACCUGGCCGCACCCCCCAUAGGGGUGAUCGAUUAGAUUGGCGCUCUGUAUGGGUGGAAGCACGGCCGAGAGGUCGUGUGGACCAUAUAGUGACGAAAAUCCUGGCCAUAGUAGCAGCGUUAGUCGGGUUAGACCCCCGACGGCCGAAAGAGCAAGGGUUCCUCGGCAAUGCCGUUCAGCCGAGGGUUAGCCGGCCCUAAGUCCCGCCGUAAUUCGACCGGGACGAAUCGGGAAACUGGUUAAUAUUCCAGUGCUCGUAUGCAGUGAACGCCGACGCCUUCGAGACAGUCGAGCUGGGCUUUCGCCCAGUCGAAUCCGGGAACUCCGUGGACGCCGUAAUGGCAGGAAGCGGACGAAACCAGAGAUAGCGUAAGUCGACCGUAUCAAGGGCCCGUGAAAAGGCAAGCAUACGAACCGUACCGAGAUCCGACACAGGUGCUCUAGCUGAGAAAGCUAAGGUCUGUCGGGAACAACCGACGUCAGGGAAUUCGGCAAAUUAGCCCCGUAAGUUCGCGAGAAGGGGUGCCUGCCUUGGAUAGAGGCAGGUCACAGUAACCAGGAAGCUCCGACUGUCUAGUAACAACAUAGGUGACCGCAAAUCCGCAAGGACUCGUACGGUCACUGAAUCCUGCCCAGUGCGGGUAUCUGAACACCCAGUACAAUGGGACGAAGGACCCGUUAACGGCGGGGGUAACUAUGACCCUCUUAAGGUAGCGUAGUACCUUGCCGCUUCAGUAGCGGCUUGCACGAAUGGAUCAACGAGAGCUUCGCUGUCCCGACGUUGGGCCCGGUGAACUGUACGUUCCAGUGCGGAGUCUGGAGUCCCCCAGGGGGAAGCGAAGACCCUAUAGAGCUUUACUGCAGGCUGUCGCUGAGACACGGUCGCUAGUGUGCAGCAUAGGUAGGAGGCGUUACACAGGUACCCGCGCUAGCGGGCCACCGAGCCAUCAGUGAAAUACUACCCACUAGUGACUGUGACUCUCACUCCGGGAGGAGGACACCGGUAGCCGGGCAGUUUGACUGGGGCGGUACACGCUUGAAAAGAUAUCGAGCGUGCCCCAAGAUCACCUCAAUCGCGUCGGAGACGCGAUGAAGAGCGCAAGAGCAUAAGGUGGUCUGACAGUGUCAUUCCCAACGAGUGACACUGACACGAGAGUGUGGUCUAGCGAACCAAUUUGCCUGCUUGAUGCGGGCCAUUGCUGACAGAAAAGCUACCUUAGGGAUAACAGAGUCGUCACGCGCAAGAGCACAUAUCGACCGCGUGGCUUGCUACCUCGAUGUCGGUUCCCUCCAUCCUGCCCGUGCAGAAGCGGGCAAGGGUGAGGUUGUUCGCCUAUUAAAGGAGGUCGUGAGCUGGGUUUAGACCGUCGUGAGACAGGUCGGCUGCUAUCUACUGGGGGUGUUAUGGAACCUGACGGGAACGCUCGUAUAGUACGAGAGGAACUACGAGUGGUGACCACUGGUGUACCGGUUGUCCGAGAGGGCAUGUGCCGGGCAGCUACGUCACACGGGGUAAGAGCUGAACGCAUCUAAGCUCGAAACCCACCUGGAAAAGAGGUUCCGCUUGAGAGUCCUCGUAGAAGACGAGGUAGAUAGACUCGGGGUGUACGCACCAAGGCAACGAGGUGUUGAGCCCGCGAGAACUAAUCACUCGAGC